AGUGAACGCUGGCGGUAGGCCUAACACAUGCAAGUCGAACGGCAGCACAGUAAGAGCUUGCUCUUACGGGUGGCGAGUGGCGGACGGGUGAGGAAUACAUCGGAAUCUACUUUUUCGUGGGGGAUAACGUGGGGAAACUUACGCUAAUACCGCAUACGACCUACGGGUGAAAGCAGGGGAUCUUCGGACCUUGCGCGAUUGAAUGAGCCGAUGUCGGAUUAGCUAGUUGGCGGGGUAAAGGCCCACCAAGGCGACGAUCCGUAGCUGGUCUGAGAGGAUGAUCAGCCACACUGGAACUGAGACACGGUCCAGACUCCUACGGGAGGCAGCAGUGGGGAAUAUUGGACAAUGGGCGCAAGCCUGAUCCAGCCAUACCGCGUGGGUGAAGAAGGCCUUCGGGUUGUAAAGCCCUUUUGUUGGGAAAGAAAAGCAGCAGGCUAAUACCCCGCUGUUCUGACGGUACCCAAAGAAUAAGCACCGGCUAACUUCGUG
Molecule: ribosomal RNA, 492 nt
Filed under: uncultured bacterium
Lineage: Bacteria
Description: partial 16S ribosomal RNA
Rfam family: Bacterial small subunit ribosomal RNA
Source: RNAcentral